This 359-nucleotide ribosomal RNA is filed under the name uncultured Acinetobacter sp. Its description in RNAcentral is "bacterial SSU rRNA". It matches the Rfam family "Bacterial small subunit ribosomal RNA", at positions 374 to 725 of the family's 1533-position model. Lineage: Bacteria; Pseudomonadati; Pseudomonadota; Gammaproteobacteria; Moraxellales; Moraxellaceae. The record is from RNAcentral.
GGGGGGACCUGAUCCAGCCAUGCCGCGUGUGUGAAGAAGGCCUUUUGGUUGUAAAGCACUUUAAGCGAGGAGGAGGCUACCGAGAUUAAUACUCUUGGAUAGUGGACGUUACUCGCAGAAUAAGCACCGGCUAACUCUGUGCCAGCAGCCGCGGUAAUACAGAGGGUGCAAGCGUUAAUCGGAUUUACUGGGCGUAAAGCGCGCGUAGGUGGCCAAUUAAGUCAAAUGUGAAAUCCCCGAGCUUAACUUGGGAAUUGCAUUCGAUACUGGUUGGCUAGAGUAUGGGAGAGGAUGGUAGAAUUCCAGGUGUAGCGGUGAAAUGCGUAGAGAUCUGGAGGAAUACCGAUUGCGAAGGCAGA